GGGGCUAUAGCUCAGCUGGGAGAGCGCUACAAUGGCAUUGUAGAGGUCGUCGGUUCGAUCCCGAUUGGCUCCACCA
Molecule: transfer RNA, 76 nt
Filed under: Alphaproteobacteria bacterium
Lineage: Bacteria; Pseudomonadati; Pseudomonadota; Alphaproteobacteria
Description: tRNA-Ala
Rfam family: tRNA
About the family: Transfer RNA (tRNA) molecules are approximately 80 nucleotides in length. Their secondary structure includes four short double-helical elements and three loops (D, anti-codon, and T loops). Further hydrogen bonds mediate the characteristic L-shaped molecular structure. tRNAs have two regions of fundamental functional importance: the anti-codon, which is responsible for specific mRNA codon recognition, and the 3' end, to which the tRNAs corresponding amino acid is attached (by aminoacyl-tRNA synthetases). tRNAs cope with the degeneracy of the genetic code in two manners: having more than one tRNA (with a specific anti-codon) for a particular amino acid; and 'wobble' base-pairing, i.e. permitting non-standard base-pairing at the 3rd anti-codon position.
Source: RNAcentral